RNAcentral lists this ribosomal RNA (317 nucleotides) under uncultured bacterium. RNAcentral describes it as "bacterial SSU rRNA". It matches the Rfam family "Bacterial small subunit ribosomal RNA", at positions 775 to 1079 of the family's 1533-position model. The record is from RNAcentral.
AGUCAAUAGAUACCCCCGGUAGUCCACGCCCUAAACGAUGUCUACUAGUUGUUGGUGGAGUAAAAUCCAUGAGUAAACGCAGCUAAACGCGUGAAGUAGACCGCCUGGGGAGUACGGUCGCAAGAUUAAAAACUCAAAGGAAUUGACGGGGGGCCCGCACAAGCGGUGGAUUAUGUGGAUUAAAUUCGAUGCAACGCGAAAAACCUUACCUGGCCUUGACAUGCCACUAACGAAGCAGAGAUGCAUUAGGUGCCCGUAAGGGAAAGUGGACACAGGUGCUGCAUGGCUGUCGUCAGCUCGUGUCGUGAGAUGUUGGG